GUAAACAUAGUUUAUCUAAAACCCUAGACUGUGAAUCUAGAAAGAGAAGCUUAUACCUUCUUGUUUACC
Molecule: transfer RNA, 69 nt
Filed under: Eremias multiocellata
Lineage: Eukaryota; Metazoa; Chordata; Lepidosauria; Squamata; Lacertidae
Description: tRNA-His
Rfam family: tRNA
About the family: Transfer RNA (tRNA) molecules are approximately 80 nucleotides in length. Their secondary structure includes four short double-helical elements and three loops (D, anti-codon, and T loops).
Source: RNAcentral